RNAcentral lists this ribosomal RNA (429 nucleotides) under Bacteroidota bacterium. RNAcentral describes it as "Bacteroidetes bacterium partial 16S ribosomal RNA". It matches the Rfam family "Bacterial small subunit ribosomal RNA", at positions 355 to 776 of the family's 1533-position model. Lineage: Bacteria; Pseudomonadati; Bacteroidota. The record is from RNAcentral.
UAGGGAAUCUUCCGCAAUGGACGCAAGUCUGACGGAGCAACGCCGCGUGAGUGAAGAAGGAUUUCGGUUCGUAAAACUCUGUUGUUAGAGAAGAACAGCGCAUAGAGUAACUGUUAUGCGUGUGACGGUAUCUAACCAGAAAGCCACGGCUAACUACGUGCCAGCAGCCGCGGUAAUACGUAGGUGGCAAGCGUUGUCCGGAUUUAUUGGGCGUAAAGCGAGCGCAGGCGGUCAAUUAAGUCUGAUGUGAAAGCCCCCGGCUCAACCGGGGAGGGUCAUUGGAAACUGGUUGACUUGAGUGCAGAAGAGGAGAGUGGAAUUCCAUGUGUAGCGGUGAAAUGCGGAGAUAUAUGGAGGAACACCAGUGGCGAAGGCGACUCUCAGGUCUGUAACUGACGCUGAGGCUCGAAAGCGUGGGUAGCAAACAGG